CAGUUGAGGCCGUGGCCAAGGAGCUGCUGAGCCCCAAGAGCUCCCACUGUGGGUAAGGGAACCCUCUAGCCCCGCUGCUCCCAGUGUCUCCAGGCUGCUGGCAGUGACACUGGGAUCCCACAGACACCCAGGCCAUGGUGGUACUGGCGCUGGUGUGUGCCUACAACCACACAGACAAGCAGGAUCUGAUCCAUGAUGCACUAAAGGUGGUGAACAAUGAUUUCCUGGAUGAGCAAGAGAGGAGAAAUGGCAUGAUUAGGGAUAUCUACAGCAUGGGGCUGGCCCUGCAGGUAUGGAGAGGGGCUGUGGGGUCACAGCUCCACUCCCUGGUUGCUCGUGACACCUUCUACCUCCUCCACAGGCUCUGGAGACCUCAAGCGAGUUUUAUGCCCCUCAGAAGUGGAACUGUGCCCAAGCCUUCAGCGUGGUCUACAAUCAGGACUACACUACCAUAGCCCAGCUGCUCUCUUGCCUCAUGGGCAAGUCAUACCUGAAUGCAGGUAGGCGGGGCUGAGCUGCCACCAACAGAAUGUCCCCAAGCCAACAGCUGUUCCUGUCUCCAAUGCUGGGGACAAUCGGGGCUCCAACCUGAAGCCGACCCGUGGGGAUGACAUUCCUGCCCUGUGCCAGGUGGGAUGUGCCAGGUGCCCACCCUGGCCCUCUCCCUGCCCACAGCUUCCAUCAUGGUGCAGUUGUCCAUCACCAACACACUGAAGAAUUACUUCCACUACUCCACCUUGGUGUGUGUCCCAGAUAACUCCACGCUACUCCGCGUGAUGAAGGUGGCAAGGAAUGAGAAACCUGACAUCUUUUGCUUCCAGACGGAGCAGACAUCCUGGGGUCCCUAUGUGACCUCCAUCCAUGGGCUGGCUGGCAACAAAACUGAAAGGACCUACUGGCAGUUCUUCAGCUGCUGGAGUCCCCUCCAGAAAGGUGGACACCUGGGGGAUGUGGGGCACAAGGGGCUGCGUUUGGUGGUCUCCAUGUCCCAACCUCACACAUCCCUCUGCUGCAAGGGUUGGUACCUACAAGCCAAAAAACUGGGAGCACAUCCAGGCUGUCUUCAGCACCUACUGACGCCACCAAGACACCCUGGACCCCUCCAUGGAGCAAUAAAGUUCCAUUCCAGCAUGUCCCUGUGUGUGUGUGUGUGUCCCUGGGAGAAAACACAGCUCACAUCCCUUUUGAAUUCCAUGAGCUCAGCUCCUCUCCUCUUCCCCAGCACCACACAGUACAAGUACAGCUUCACCCAAUUCCUUGGAGACAAGCCAUGUCCCUGGCUCCAUCAGCCAGGAAGUGAGACCAUCAUCCUCCUCAUCAUCACUGUGUCCUACUUUGCUGAGAAUCCUUCCAUCUGUUCUGCUCCAGAGGGCCAGCAGUAUCCACAUGGAGCCCCUCGCUCCUGGAACCACUGGUGUGCCCUGGGGCUGUGACAUCACACAGGUGUCCCAUCCACAGCACUGUGACAUCAGCACCGUGUCUCUACAGGACAUGUGCCACAUCCCCUGGCUCCCAGUGUGGCCAAGAUGGGACAUGGAUGAAGCCAUGAGUUUCCUGCUCCCCCUGCUUGUCCUGCUGGUGGCCAGUACAGCCGUCCUGCUGGCCACCUGCAUUUGGAAGGAACGGAAGCGCGUCAGGGGCCGGG
Long non-coding RNA from Cyanistes caeruleus (blue tit), 1645 nucleotides. Ensembl annotates it as gastric intrinsic factor-like. The record is from Ensembl. NCBI's taxonomy places the organism in Eukaryota, Metazoa, Chordata, Aves, Passeriformes, Paridae.